GCCGUGAUCGUAUAGUGGUUAGUACUCUGCGUUUGGCCGCAGCAACCCCGGUUCGAAUCCGGGUCAUGGCA
Molecule: transfer RNA, 71 nt
Filed under: Dallia pectoralis (Alaska blackfish)
Lineage: Eukaryota; Metazoa; Chordata; Actinopteri; Esociformes; Umbridae
Description: tRNA-OTHER
Rfam family: tRNA
About the family: Transfer RNA (tRNA) molecules are approximately 80 nucleotides in length.
Source: RNAcentral